Molecule: ribosomal RNA, 226 nt
Filed under: uncultured bacterium
Lineage: Bacteria
Description: partial 16S ribosomal RNA
Rfam family: Bacterial small subunit ribosomal RNA
Source: RNAcentral
CGACGUGGGUAACCUGCCUCGUACAGGGGGAUAACUAUUGGAAACGAUAGCUAAUACCGCAUAACAAUGGAUGACACAUGUCAUUUAUUUGAAAGGGGCAAUUGCUCCACUACAAGAUGGACCUGCGUUGUAUUAGCUAGUAGGUGAGGUAACGGCUCACCUAGGCGACGAUACAUAGCCGACCUGAGAGGGUGAUCGGCCACACUGGGACUGAGACACGGCCCAG